CACUUUUAAUCCUUGGUGGAAUCAACUUCUUGGGAAUGAUGUUUACUUUCUUGAUACCUGAGUCGAAGGGAAAAUCACUCGAGGAAAUUUCUGGUGAAGCUGAGGAAGAAAAUCAAAGUUACCAAACUACAAGAGUCUAGGCAAACUGUUCCAGGCUUCCAGCUUAAUUAGGCUUUCUUCUAGAUUAUGCUAAGACAUUACAUAAAAAGAAAGCCUAAUUAAGCUGGAAGCCUGGAACAGUUUGCCUAGACUCUUGUAGUUUGGUAACUUUGAUUUUCUUCCUCAGCUUCACCAGAAAUUUCCUCGAGUGAUUUUCCCUUCGACUCAGGUAUCAAGAAAGUAAACAUCAUUCCCAAGAAGUUGAUUCCACCAAGGAUUAAAAGUGUAUUCAUCACACCAAUGCCAUCAGCAGCAUAAAAGAAGCCGAAUGCACCUACCAUUGCCCCUACCUUGCCAGAUGCAGCUGAUAUACCAUGACAUGUAGACCUUAAACUUGCCGGGAAGAUCUCGGCAGGCACGACAAAUGUGGUGGCAUUUGGACCGAAGUUGGAGAAGAAGAAGGUUAACGAAUACGCAGAUUCAGGCAUCUUCAUGCGCCAGUAAUAAGUAAGUGCUGCUGGGAUUGCACCAAACAUCAAAACAAUUCUCCAAAAAUAGUCAGUUUCUGGUACAGUAGAGCCAACUGGAUCAUUUUCAUAAGGUUGGGCAGGAUACUUGGCCAUGAAUGCUGCAGAAAUUAUAAUAGCAACCAUCCCACCAGCCAAGAUCCCAAAACCUUGCAUGGCAAAAA
RNAcentral lists this unclassified non-coding RNA (790 nucleotides) under Hevea brasiliensis (rubber tree). Lineage: Eukaryota; Viridiplantae; Streptophyta; Magnoliopsida; Malpighiales; Euphorbiaceae. The record is from RNAcentral.